UUAUGGCUCAGGAUGAACGCUGGCGGCGUGCCUAACACAUGCAAGUCGAACGGAAUUACAGAAGAAAGUUUCGGAUGGAAUUUGUAAUUUAGUGGCGGACGGGUGAGUAACACGUGGGUAACCUGCCCUGUACCGGGGGAUAACAGUUGGAAACGGCUGUUAAUACCGCAUAAGCGCACAGCUUCGCAUGAAGCAGUGUGAAAAACUCCGGUGGUACAGGAUGGACCCCGCGUCUGAUUAGCUAGUUGGCGGGGUAACGGCCCACCAAGGCGACGAUCAGUAGCCGGCCUGAGAGGGUGAACGGCCACAUUGGGACUGAGACACGGCCCAGACUCCUACGGGAGGCAGCAGUGGGGGAAUAUUGCACAAUGGAGGAAACUCUGAUGCAGCCGACGCCGCGUGAGCGAUGAAGUAUUUCGGUAUGUAAAGCUCUAUCAGCAGGGAAGAUAAUGACGGUACCUGACUAAGAAGCCCCGGCUAACUACGUGCCAGCCGCAGC
Molecule: ribosomal RNA, 499 nt
Filed under: uncultured bacterium
Lineage: Bacteria
Description: bacterial SSU rRNA
Rfam family: Bacterial small subunit ribosomal RNA
Source: RNAcentral